AUUGAACGCUGGCGGCCUGCCUAACACAUGCAAGUCGAACGGCAGCACGACCUAGCUUGCUAGGUUGGUGGCGAGUGGCGCACGGGUGAGUAAUGCGUAGGAAUAUACCUUAAAGUGAGGGAGAACCUGGGGAAACUAAGGCUAAUGCCGCAUGAGCUCUAAGGAGGAAAGCUGGGGACCUUUCGGGGCCGGGCGCGGUAAGAAUAGCUCACGUCCGAGUAGUUAGUUGGUGGGGUAAAGGCUUACCAAGACGAUGAUCGGUAGCUGGUCUGAGAGGAUGAUCAGCCACACUGGGACGGAGACACGGCCCAGACUCCUACGGGAGGCAGCAGUGGGGAAUAUUGGACAAUGGGGGAAACCCUGAUCCAGCGAUGCCGCGUGUGUGAAGAAGGCCUGCGGGUUGUAAAGCACUUUCGGUGGGGAGGAGGACUUAUAGGUUGAGAGCUAAUGAGUUGGACGUUACCCACAUAAGAAGCACCGGCUAACUCCGUGCCAGCCGCCGCAGUAA
RNAcentral lists this ribosomal RNA (508 nucleotides) under uncultured bacterium. Its description in RNAcentral is "partial 16S ribosomal RNA". It matches the Rfam family "Bacterial small subunit ribosomal RNA", at positions 29 to 523 of the family's 1533-position model. The record is from RNAcentral.